GGAAGGGACCCAGUAAGGGAUCUGUUGCGCCACAGGGGUCUCCAGGGCCCUCGCAGGUUGGGGUGGUCUGAGCUAGUCUGAAGGAGGACAGUCAGCUGACUUCUCCUUUAUCUCUCUUUCCCAGGAUAGCAGGUUCCCUUGGUGUAUUACAGUUUCUGAAGUGUUGAUUCCCUUUUCAAUUGAUUCCACAGAUGACAGUCCUGACGUUUAAAAAAUUGCCAGAUAACCUUUAAUUUUUUUUUUUUUAACAGAACACAAACUUAAGCCAGAUUGCCUAGGAUUGAACCUUGGCCUCUCACUUCCUAGACGAGUGGCCUUGGCUAGUUAACCACCUUCGUGAGCCUCAGUUUUGUCAUCUGUAAAAUGGGAGUCAUAAGUGUCUACCUCACAGAGCUGUGAUUGAAAGGAUAAAUAGCACCUUGCACAUAGCGGUGUAGAAGUGCUUGUUAUUGUUAAUAUUUUAUUUACCUUCACGCAGUGGCGGAAGUGGAGUAAGACAUCAUGUUGCCUCAAGUUUAAUUGGAAAUCGCGUGCCUUGUGAAGAAUGGACACUCAGUAGAUGCUUAUUGAUGAACCUGUUGGUUGAGGAUAACUCGCUAACUUUUCUGAGCUUUGUUGGAAAAACUAGACAGGGGUCUCACUAUGUGAUGCAGGAUGAUCUCAAACUCCCUGGCCUCAAGCGAUCCUCCUGCCUUGGUCUCCUAAAGUGCUGGGAUUACAGCAGGUCACUGUAUCUCUAUGCAUUACAGAAAAUGGCUAGUUAAAAACUUGUCAAGGCCAGUUGCAGGCAUGAUACCAGCAGUCUGGGAGGUAGAGACAAGAGGACACAUCUCUGCUGCUCCCUUCUUUCCCCAUGGUUAUGCGCCAACUUUGGUUUCACCAGGCCUACAGUGCUUCCCAGGUUUGGAGUGUGGGGAAGGAGAAGAUUUAAUGGAAGCAGCUUAAGGGAAAUGCUCAAACUAAACUGAUACUUUCUUCAUGAUCUAGCAUUGAAACUUUCUGGACUUGACAGAUAUUUAAAAUUAACUCUUUUUCUCAUUAACAUUUUCAUGGGUUCUUCCAAGAUCCACAUUACCCAACCUGUGGGUUCCCAUGACAAGGAUUAAGGCAUCUCUGUUUCUUCUGGACCUUUAUUUACCUGGAUUCUUUCUCUAGGGACUGUUUACCCUUAUGGGCCAUCCUUUUGAGCAUAACCUAACAAGAUUCAUGCUGGCUUUAAGUGAGUGGUCCACAUUUGGUUCAUGGGAAAACCACAUAGUUUGUCCCCAGCAAACCUGGAAGUAAUAUUUAUUUUACUGCUGGAAUUAAGGAAAACCAAAAAUCCUAUUACAAAAUGGCUCCUCUAAACAUUCACAUUACCCCUUUUUGUCUCUACCCCCUGAGGAACUAACCAACUCUAGCUCUUUGGAUUUUCCAAAUGAGAGGUCAACACAUCGAUGUCUCCAAGACCUUAAGUUCUUCUAGUGGUCUCUUUAAGCUUCCUCCCUUGAAUUAUGGUGAAAAGGGACUGCCUGCUACCCCCUCCUCUUGAGGAGAGGGGUGGUAUCACAGCCUAACAAUAAUUUCCAAAAAUUUUCUCCUCCAGCUCUAAUGCUUAACCAGUUUAGACUUUCAAAGUGGAUAAUGUAAUUUAAAGCCUUACAGCUAGUUAUGCUCUACUUCUUCUAUAAGUCCUGCAACCAGGUGGUCUCAAUCCUCACUUGCGAAUACUGCAUUUACUCACCUUGUGCCCUAGCCAAAACUUCCACAACAAAUUCUGUGGUGCAUUUAAGUGAAAGAUGUUAUUUGAUUGAUAGAGAGAUAGAUAGAUAGAUACAGAUAUAGAUAUAGAUAUGUAUUAGAACCAUGUCAAAUGGUUAACUUUUUUAAAAAGGUAAAUUUUUUAUAUUGAGAUAAUUAUAGAUUCUCAUACACUCGUAAGAAAUAACACAGAAAGAUCCCAUGUAGCCUUUAUCCAGUUUCCCCAGUGAUAAUAUCUUGCAAAACUAUAGUCCAAUAUCACAACCAAGAUACUGGCAUUGAUAGAUCACUUCCAUCACCACAAACAUCCCUCAUGUUGCCCUUUUAUAGCCACACUCAUUUCCCUCCUGCUGCCACCCUCUCCUUUACCCAUAACCACUUAUCUGUUCUCUAUUUUUGUAAUUUUAUCAUUUCAAGAAUACUGUAGAAAUGGAAUAAUACAGUAUGUAUUUUAGGGCUUAUCUUUUCUACACUCGGCAUGAUUCUCUGGAGAUUCAUCCAGGUUGUUGCAUGUAUCAAUAGUUCAUUCCUUUUUUACUGCUGAACAGUAUUCCAUUGUAUGUAUGUACCAUAGUUUAACUAUUUGCUCAAUGAAAGACAUAUAUUAAUAGUUUCCAGUUUUUGCUGUUAUGAAUAAAGC
Long non-coding RNA from Homo sapiens (human), 2380 nucleotides. Ensembl annotates it as METTL14 divergent transcript. Its record names the gene METTL14-DT. Lineage: Eukaryota; Metazoa; Chordata; Mammalia; Primates; Hominidae. The record is from Ensembl.